This 83-nucleotide transfer RNA is filed under the name Eubacteriales Family XIII. Incertae Sedis bacterium. Its description in RNAcentral is "tRNA-Leu". It matches the Rfam family "tRNA". Rfam says of the family: Transfer RNA (tRNA) molecules are approximately 80 nucleotides in length. Their secondary structure includes four short double-helical elements and three loops (D, anti-codon, and T loops). The record is from RNAcentral. Lineage: Bacteria; Bacillati; Bacillota; Clostridia; Peptostreptococcales; Anaerovoracaceae.
GCGGUUGUGGCGGAAUAGGCAGACGCGCACGGUUGAGGGCCGUGUUCGAAAGAGUAAGGGUUCAAGUCCCUUCAACCGCACCA